RNAcentral lists this long non-coding RNA (538 nucleotides) under Mus pahari (shrew mouse). RNAcentral's name for it is "lncRNA (MGP_PahariEiJ_G0003262.1)". Lineage: Eukaryota; Metazoa; Chordata; Mammalia; Rodentia; Muridae. The record is from RNAcentral.
GACUUACCUGCAGAGCUCAUCAUGGCAGGUGAAGAACUAUGGAUCAGUGCAGGUUGGCCGGGCAUCUUCUCCCUCCAGAGGCUGAGCUACGGAUGACUCGGAACUGCCUUCAUCUAAGUCUUCAUAGUACCUCUGAGACAGGAAGGCUGACCGAGACAGGCUGGCUGCAGAAGGCCCACCCCAAAACAACAUUAGACAACUCAAAGCAAUCCCCAAAGCUGUGCCAUUUCAGUACUAAGAGAAACAGACCAUAAAGCACUUUCAUUAUUUUAUACUUAAGGUGGAAGCUGCUAUUGCUGAAUAUGAAUGAUAAUCUGUGGUCUUUGCUCAAAACUAAGUUUUGAAAACUAAGCUGCUAGGACAAAGACAGCUUUGACCAUCAGACAAGACUGAAAAUAAGAGUGAUAAUCUAUACUGGUAGAAAAACAAGAGAUUAAACUCUCACAGGAAAAAGACAGUAUCAGAGAGGUAGCAGGCCAGUCAGCCACAGCAUCACCCCUGCUUUCCAACCUCAGAACACCAGAGUGAGACGGCCUGA